GCGGCCGGACGGCCCGUCGCGGGCCGCGCUCCCACAUUGGAGCGUGAGCGUGAGGAAAGUCCGGGCAACGAAGAGCACCAUCCUUCCUAACAGAAAGGCACGGGCAACCGUGCAGGCAACGUGACAGAAAACAACCGCCCCACACAAUGGCGGGGGAGCCUCCCUCCGGGGGGCGCCACCACCCCACCGGGGCAAGGGUGAAAAGGCGGGGUAAGAGCCCACCGGGCGCCAUCGCGAGUUGGCGCGCCGCACGGUCUGAUGGGUUGCAAGGUCAAGUAUACCGGCAGUGGAGCGCUGCUCCGGCCCCUGAGGCCGGCUGCUCCGGAUGGGCUGCUCGCCCAUUUGCCGGGGGGUAGACCGCUUUAGCCCGCGGGCAACCGCGCGGCAUAGAUAAAUGACGGGCCGACACGGCGUCGGAUUGCCAUCGCGCAAUCCCCCCGCCACGAAAAACGAGAAAAUAGUGUCGACAUAACCCGGCUUACAGUCCGGCCGCUUUU
RNAcentral lists this RNase P RNA (497 nucleotides) under bacterium. Its description in RNAcentral is "RNase P RNA component class A". It matches the Rfam family "Bacterial RNase P class A". From Rfam's summary of the family: Ribonuclease P (RNase P) is a ubiquitous endoribonuclease, found in archaea, bacteria and eukarya as well as chloroplasts and mitochondria. The record is from RNAcentral.